ACACAGAUGGGAGGUGGUCCACGAAGUGAUUUCAGAUUGGACGCGUGAGGUGACUGCGCGCUAGCGCACCUCGACUGCUUCGAGGGGCGCCGCCCGGCGCAAUUCCCAGCAGUUCACCGCAGCCCGUGGGCCGUGCAGGUCGUCCCCUGCACUCGUCGCACCGAGUUCGCUCGGUCGACAGGCCCGCGGGCUGUUCCAU
This 199-nucleotide small RNA is filed under the name Janibacter sp. HTCC2649. RNAcentral's name for it is "Actinobacteria sRNA Ms_IGR-5". It matches the Rfam family "Actinobacteria sRNA Ms_IGR-5". The record is from Rfam by way of RNAcentral. Lineage: Bacteria; Bacillati; Actinomycetota; Actinomycetes; Micrococcales; Intrasporangiaceae.